CACUCCCGCGGCGGCUACAGCGAGGCCACGCCUUUUAAAGGAGUCGACGGUUCCGCACCAGCUCUUGGCCUCUGGCCGCCCUUGGACGCCUAAGGCAUAUCAGAGAAGUUCCAGAGGAACAAACCCACUCCCGUCCUAUUGAGCCUAAGUUCCUGAAAGAUCAUCUAGUCCAACUAGACUUCACCAGGCACAUGAAUCACCCAAGAAGCUUGUUAAACUGCAAAACCUGAUUCAGAAGAGCUGGCUGCGGCUCGAGGUUCUGCAUGUCUCAUGGACUCCCAGGUGGGAAAUCCUCCAAUGUACACAAGCCUAAGGGCCCACAAAACGUGGAUCUGCUGUGGCCUGAGGAGCGGCACUGACUCACCCUCUGGAGACCACACCAGAACUCCUGUCCCUCCUGCCCUCCCGUGGGAAUUUCUAGGAAGACAAGCACGUCAUCUGCAAAUAGCCAUGUGGUCAAUUCCUUGCCAAUAUUUAUCCUUCUGUACCAGUCAGAAGUUCUGUUUGCAAACAACAGAAACCAGCUCUACUUAAACUAACAUGGGAAGGUUAUUGGGAGAGACAAACUCGGAGCAGCCAAAAUAACCAAUAAAGUCCUAUCACAGUUCUGCCUGCUUUUCAUGCUUAUAGUGCCCCCACCACCACCACCAUCAAAGUUCCAGCCUGCCAAACUGACGAUGUUUUCACUCUUUUAUUGUUACUCUAUACAACUCCAAGUCCAAGAUUUCUGGGGUUGACUUUGCCUUCAGCCAACACCUCAGUUGGCAGGGGUUCUUUAUCUGAUGGAUGUCAAUGCUCAGGGAGGCCUUGGAGACCACUUGUUGAAGACGACACAACUUCUUUCACUCUGAGUCUCUGGAUAACUGUGGACAGCAAAGUCCCCAGCUCUUCCCAUCUCCUCCAGUCAGACUCCACAUGAGCAAAAAAUAAACUAUUGUACUAAG
Herpailurus yagouaroundi (jaguarundi) is the source of this 944-nucleotide long non-coding RNA. RefSeq lists it as uncharacterized. Lineage: Eukaryota; Metazoa; Chordata; Mammalia; Carnivora; Felidae. The transcript is spliced from 6 exons. The record is from RefSeq and is a predicted model, not a curated record.